Molecule: ribosomal RNA, 272 nt
Filed under: uncultured soil bacterium
Lineage: Bacteria
Description: partial 16S ribosomal RNA
Rfam family: Bacterial small subunit ribosomal RNA
Source: RNAcentral
AGAAUCAACGCUGGCGGCGUGCCUAACACAUGCAAGUCGAACGCGAAAGGGGAGCAAUCCCUGAUUAGAGUGGCAAACGGGUGAGUAACACGUGGGCGACCUACCUCAGAGUGGGGGAUAACCUUCCGAAAGGAGGGCUAAUACCGCAUGACAUGCCGUGUUUGGAUACACGGACAUCAAAGCCGGGGAUCGCAAGACCUGGCGCUUGGAGAGGGGCCCGCGUCCGAUUAGCUAGUUGGUGAGGUAACGGCUCACCAAGGCUCCGAUCGGUA